This is a long non-coding RNA of Asterias rubens (European starfish), 1287 nucleotides long. RefSeq lists it as uncharacterized. The transcript has 8 exons. NCBI's taxonomy places the organism in Eukaryota, Metazoa, Echinodermata, Asteroidea, Forcipulatida, Asteriidae. The record is from RefSeq and is a predicted model, not a curated record.
UCAAAAAAUUUGCGACUCCUUCGUAUUUCGCUCUUCUAAUUUACGGCAAUUUUCAAAAUUUUGCCAAAUUUGGUCAAACCAUGGAUUUAAGUGGACGCCUUAAAUGAUAUAGACCAAAUGUAAACUGUUUGAAGCUGGAACUGGACGAGUAAAAAUGCUGAAUUUCGGGAGUGAAAAUGCUGCACCAUCUCAAACUUUUGCCCGUGUGCCGUCCGCCAAACGCGGCACGGCGGCUUGCACUUGGAGACGGCGAGACCGGCAAAUGCGAGCAAAGACUCUGAAUGUUGCUUGGCGGCGAAUGUUGUGCUGAAACUUGCGACAAAUUGUGUGCAAUAAGAGAGACAGUUCUACUCCUAGCAAAAUGAGGAAUAUUGUCGUCCUGCUGGAAUUAUUGUGUCAAGUUCAAGACAUGGUCAAGCCUGACCAGGAGGGGCUCCAGUCUCCAAAACAUCUACAUGUCAACAAGGCUGAGACCCAAUCAUCGAACAGUCUGACCCUACUUUCUCUGUAAACAGCUCCAGUCUCCAAAACAUCUACAUGUCAACAAGGCUGACCCCCCAAUCAUCGGACAGUCUGACCAUAGGAACUACCUUAUCUGUAAACAGCUCCAGUCUCCAAAACAUCUACAUGUCAACAAGGCUGACCCCCCAAUCAUCGGACAGUCUGACCAUAGGAACUACCUUGUCUGUAAACAGCUCCAGUCUCCAAAACAUCUACAUGUCAACAAGGCUGACCCCCCAAUCAUCGGACAGUCUGACCAUAGGAACUACCUUAUCUGUAAACAGCUCCAGUCUCCAAAACCUCUACAUGUCAACAAGGCUGAGACCCAAUCAUUGAACAGUCUGACCAUAGGAACUAUACUUUCUCUGUAAACAGGAGAUUCUCCUCGUCUAUUUUCUUGUACAAAAUGACUUUGUGGGACCUCUAGAUGUUUUGUUUGCCUGCCUGCAGCUCCAGUCUCGUCAUACAGCCUGGCAUCAAGAACAACAUUCUCUGUAAACAGCUCCAGUCUCCAAAAGUUCAACAUGUCAACAUGAAUGUCUGAGACCCACUUAUCAUCAUACAUCUUGGCAUAAAGAACUACCUUCUCUGUAAACAGGUUAAUUGAAACCCUACAAUCCCAAUACUUUCUCCAGUGUCCAAAGUGAAGGAUUAAGGACUUGGGCCAGUAGGGUCUCAUUCCAAUCUUAUAGAGUACAACCAAUUUGUGGAGUGACAUAUAAGAAGAGGAUAUGGAAACGUUGAUGCCACAUGCUGGCAAAAAUUCCUAUGCUCUUUUCCCAACAA